RNAcentral lists this non-coding RNA (182 nucleotides) under Facklamia lactis. Its description in RNAcentral is "Facklamia sp. DSM 111018 6S RNA". It matches the Rfam family "6S / SsrS RNA". Rfam says of the family: E. coli 6S RNA was the first non coding RNA to be sequenced, but its function was unknown until recently. It consists of 184 nucleotides that fold into an extended hairpin structure with a large single-stranded internal bulge. The 6S RNA specifically associates with RNA polymerase holoenzyme containing the sigma70 specificity factor. Lineage: Bacteria; Bacillati; Bacillota; Bacilli; Lactobacillales; Aerococcaceae. The record is from RNAcentral.
AUAUAUCUAAGGUGUUCGAGAAGUAUUCAGUGUGUUGACCGAACAUUAUCUAUUUUGGGAUCCUAUGAGUAAAUUCUAAUGGCAAGCCAUCGCACGUGGAAGCCAGGAAGAAUUUAUGUGGAGCCCACCUGUUGCUAGCGGGUUCAACCUAGCUAUAUUGAGACGGCACCACUGGAUAUAUU